Molecule: ribosomal RNA, 471 nt
Filed under: uncultured organism
Description: partial 16S ribosomal RNA
Rfam family: Bacterial small subunit ribosomal RNA
Source: RNAcentral
CACUCCUACGGGAGGCAGCAGUGAGGAAUAUUGGACAAUGGGUGGAAGCCUGAUCCAGCCAUCCCGCGUGCAGGAAGACGGCCCUAUGGGUUGUAAACUGCUUUUAUCUGGGGAUAAACCUACUUACGUGUAAGUAGCUGAAGGUACCAGAAGAAUAAGCACCGGCUAACUCCGUGCCAGCAGCCGCGGUAAUACGGAGGGUGCAAGCGUUAUCCGGAUUUAUUGGGUUUAAAGGGUCCGUAGGCGGACUGAUAAGUCAGUGGUGAAAUCCGACAGCUUAACUGUCGAACUGCCAUUGAUACUGUUAGUCUUGAGUAAGGUUGAAGUGGCUGGAAUAAGUAGUGUAGCGGUGAAAUGCAUAGAUAUUACUUAGAACACCAAUUGCGAAGGCAGGUCACUAAGUCUUAACUGACGCUGAUGGACGAAAGCGUGGGGAGCGAACAGGAUUAGAAACCCUUGUAGUCCCAUGAU